Molecule: ribosomal RNA, 490 nt
Filed under: uncultured bacterium
Lineage: Bacteria
Description: partial 16S ribosomal RNA
Rfam family: Bacterial small subunit ribosomal RNA
Source: RNAcentral
AUUGAACGCUGGCGGCAGGCCUAACACAUGCAAGUCGAACGGUAACAGGAAGAAGCUUGCUUCUUUGCUGACGAGUGGCGGACGGGUGAGUAAUGUCUGGGAAACUGCCUGAUGGAGGGGGAUAACUACUGGAAACGGUAGCUAAUACCGCAUAACGUCGCAAGACCAAAGAGGGGGACCUUCGGGCCUCUUGCCAUCGGAUGUGCCCAGAUGGGAUUAGCUAGUAGGUGGGGUAACGGCUCACCUAGGCGACGAUCCCUAGCUGGUCUGAGAGGAUGACCAGCCACACUGGAACUGAGACACGGUCCAGACUCCUACGGGAGGCAGCAGUGGGGAAUAUUGCACAAUGGGCGAAAGCCUGAUGCAGCAAUGCCGCGUGUAUGAAGAAGGCCUUCGGGUUGUAAAGUACUUUCAGCGGGGAGGAAGGGAGUAAAGUUAAUACCUUUGCUCAUUGACGUUACCCGCAGAAGAAGCACCGGCUAACUACGUG